Molecule: ribosomal RNA, 253 nt
Filed under: uncultured bacterium
Lineage: Bacteria
Description: partial 16S ribosomal RNA
Rfam family: Bacterial small subunit ribosomal RNA
Source: RNAcentral
UACGAAGGGGGCUAGCGUUGCUCGGAAUCACUGGGCGUAAAGGGUGCGUAGGCGGGUCUUUAAGUCAGGGGUGAAAUCCUGGAGCUCAACUCCAGAACUGCCUUUGAUACUGAAGAUCUUGAGUUCGGGAGAGGUGAGUGGAACUGCGAGUGUAGAGGUGAAAUUCGUAGAUAUUCGCAAGAACACCAGUGGCGAAGGCGCCUUGCUGGCCGAUUUCUGACGCUGAGGCGCGAAAGCGUGGGGAGCAAACAGG